AAGUCGAACGAACGGAGGAAGAGCUUGCUCUUCCAAAGUUAGUGGCGGACGGGUGAGUAACACGUGGGCAACCUGCCUGUAAGUUGGGGAUAACUCCGGGAAACCGGGGCUAAUACCGAAUGAUAGAGUGUGGCGCAUGCCACGCUUUUGAAAGAUGGUUUCGGCUAUCGCUUACAGAUGGGCCCGCGGUGCAUUAGCUAGUUGGUAGGGGAAUGGCCUACCAAGGCAACGAUGCAUAGCCGACCUGAGAGGG
RNAcentral lists this ribosomal RNA (253 nucleotides) under Listeria monocytogenes. RNAcentral's name for it is "partial 16S ribosomal RNA". It matches the Rfam family "Bacterial small subunit ribosomal RNA", at positions 59 to 300 of the family's 1533-position model. Lineage: Bacteria; Bacillati; Bacillota; Bacilli; Caryophanales; Listeriaceae. The record is from RNAcentral.